Molecule: transfer RNA, 71 nt
Filed under: Phycisphaeraceae bacterium
Lineage: Bacteria; Pseudomonadati; Planctomycetota; Phycisphaerae; Phycisphaerales; Phycisphaeraceae
Also listed under: 1 other name
Description: tRNA-Gln
Rfam family: tRNA
About the family: Transfer RNA (tRNA) molecules are approximately 80 nucleotides in length.
Source: RNAcentral
UGGGGAUUGGUGUAACGGUAGCACGACUGAUUCUGGUUCAGUUAGUCAAGGUUCGAAUCCUUGAUCCCCAG